GACGAACGCGGGCGGCGUGCCUAAUACAUGCAAGUUGAGCGCUGAAGGUUGGUACUUGUACCAACUGGAUGAGCAGCGAACGGGUGAGUAACGCGUGGGGAAUCUGCCUUUGAGCGGGGGACAACAUUUGGAAACGAAUGCUAAUACCGCAUAAAAACUUUAAACACAAGUUUUAAGUUUGAAAGAUGCAAUUGCAUCACUCAAAGAUGAUCCCGCGUUGUAUUAGCUAGUUGGUGAGGUAAAGGCUCACCAAGGCGAUGAUACAUAGCCGACCUGAGAGGGUGAUCGGCCACAUUGGGACUGAGACACGGCCCAAACUCCUACGGGAGGCAGCAGUAGGGAAUCUUCGGCAAUGGACGAAAGUCUGACCGAGCAACGCCGCGUGAGUGAAGAAGGUUUUCGGAUCGUAAAACUCUGUUGGUAGAGAAGAACGUUGGUGAGAGUGGAAAGCUCAUCAAGUGACGGUAACUACCCAGAAAGGGACGGCUAACUACGUG
This 497-nucleotide ribosomal RNA is filed under the name uncultured bacterium. RNAcentral's name for it is "partial 16S ribosomal RNA". It matches the Rfam family "Bacterial small subunit ribosomal RNA", at positions 28 to 507 of the family's 1533-position model. The record is from RNAcentral.